AUACGGGGGGUGCAAGCGUUAAUCGGAAUUACUGGGCGUAAAGCGCGCGUAGGCGGUUUGCUCAGUCGGAUGUGAAAGCCCAGGGCUCAACUUUGGAACUGCAUACGAUACUGGCAAACUAGAGUGUGAGAGAGGAUAGUGGAAUUUCCGGUGUAGCGGUGAAAUGCGUAGAUAUCCGAAGGAACAUCAGUGGCGAAGGCGACUGUCUGGCUCAACACUGACGCUGAGGUGCGAAAGCGUGGGUAGCAAACAGGAUUAGAUACCCUAGUAGUCC
This 274-nucleotide ribosomal RNA is filed under the name uncultured bacterium. Its description in RNAcentral is "partial 16S ribosomal RNA". It matches the Rfam family "Bacterial small subunit ribosomal RNA", at positions 523 to 796 of the family's 1533-position model. The record is from RNAcentral.